Long non-coding RNA from Podarcis raffonei (Aeolian wall lizard), 399 nucleotides. RefSeq lists it as uncharacterized. The transcript is spliced from 4 exons. NCBI's taxonomy places the organism in Eukaryota, Metazoa, Chordata, Lepidosauria, Squamata, Lacertidae. The record is from RefSeq and is a predicted model, not a curated record.
UCGCGGGUUCUCUUCCCCGCCCCCGUUAGAGGGGCGGAGGGUGUUUCGGGGGGCACGCCUCUUAAAGGAGCCGUUCAACUUUCUCGCUGUUACAGGCUUCAUUUCAGGUUAUGCAGGGCCUUCUUAAAAAGGGAGAUGCCUGAAGGCAGCAGUGGAAGACACACCUGCAAUCAUUCCUCACACAGAGAACCCAGCCUACAGGCACUGCCUCCCUUCCUCAGUAAGAUAGAGCUGGCCACUCACAACGGACAUCCAGGACCACAGAGAUCAUGACAGAUCCAUCUCGGGCCAACUUGCAGGUCGACCUGCGUGUCCCCUCGGAACCAGAGCAGCUCUUCUCCCUGGCUGUUGUUGUGCACUGUGCACACGAGGGACUCUGCUACGCCUGGCUUUGUUGAC